Molecule: ribosomal RNA, 640 nt
Filed under: uncultured bacterium
Lineage: Bacteria
Description: bacterial SSU rRNA
Rfam family: Bacterial small subunit ribosomal RNA
Source: RNAcentral
GGCGAACGGGUGAGUAAUAUAUCGGAACGUGCCCAGUCGUGGGGGAUAACGUAGUGAAAAUUACGCUAAUACCGCAUACGAUCUAAGGAUGAAAGCGGGGGAUCGCAAGACCUCGCGCGACUGGAGCGGCCGAUAUCAGAUUAGGUAGUUGGUAGGGUAAAGGCCUACCAAGCCAACGAUCUGUAGCUGGUCUGAGAGGACGACCAGCCACACUGGAACUGAGACACGGUCCAGACUCCUACGGGAGGCAGCAGUGGGGAAUUUUGGACAAUGGGCGAAAGCCUGAUCCAGCCAUUCCGCGUGCAGGAUGAAGGCCCUCGGGUUGUAAACUGCUUUUGUACAGAACGAAAAGGUUUCUAUUAAUACUAGGGGCUCAUGACGGUACUGUAAGAAUAAGCACCGGCUAACUACGUGCCAGCAGCCGCGGUAAUACGUAGGGUGCAAGCGUUAAUCGGAAUUACUGGGCGUAAAGCGUGCGCAGGCGGUUAUAUAAGUCAGAUGUGAAAUCCCCGGGCUCAACCUGGGAACUGCAUUUGAGACUGUAUAGCUAGAGUACGGUAGAGGGGGAUGGAAUUCCGCGUGUAGCAGUGAAAUGCGUAGAUAUGCGGAGGAACACCGAUGGCGAAGGCAAUCCCCUGGA